Molecule: ribosomal RNA, 372 nt
Filed under: uncultured organism
Description: bacterial SSU rRNA
Rfam family: Bacterial small subunit ribosomal RNA
Source: RNAcentral
CGUAGGGUGCGAGCGUUAAUCGGAAUUACUGGGCGUAAAGUGUGCGCAGGUGGCUGAGCAAGUCGAGUGUGAAAUCCCCGGGCUUAACUUGGGAAUUGCGCUCGAAACUACUUGGCUCGAGUGUGGCAGAGGAAGGUGGAAUUCCAGGUGUAGCGGUGAAAUGCGUAGAGAUCUGGAGGAACACCGAUGGCGAAGGCAGCCUUCUGGGCCAACACUGACGCUCAUGCACGAAAGCGUGGGGAGCAAACAGGAUUAGAUACCCUGGUAGUCCACGCCCUAAACGAUGAUGACUAGUGGUUGGGGGAGUUAAAUCCCUUAGUAACGCAGCUAACGCGUGAAGUCAUCCGCCUGGGGAGUACGGUCGCAAGAUUA